CGAACGGGUGAGUAACGCGUGAGGAACCUGCCUCAAAGAGGGGGACAACAGUUGGAAACGACUGCUAAUACCGCAUAAGCCCACGGCUCGGCAUCGAGCAGAGGGAAAAGGAGUGAUCCGCUUUGAGAUGGCCUCGCGUCCGAUUAGCUAGUUGGUGAGGUAACGGCCCACCAAGGCGACGAUCGGUAGCCGGACUGAGGGGUUGAACGGCCACAUUGGGACUGAGACACGGCCCAG
Molecule: ribosomal RNA, 237 nt
Filed under: uncultured bacterium
Lineage: Bacteria
Description: partial 16S ribosomal RNA
Rfam family: Bacterial small subunit ribosomal RNA
Source: RNAcentral